UUGCAUGUCAGCCUCUCUUCAUCUUUUUAUUAAUUGUGUUUGUUCCAGUAAUAACAAAAGAGUAAACAUGAACAGUGCCUCACUUAUCAUUGUACGAAGUUAAAUACACAGAAAUGUAUAUUGUUGCUUUUUUAGUGCUUUGUAUCUCAAAUACAUUUGGAAGCUCUCUGAGGUACGUGUUGUCCCGCUUGCAGCCAGCCAGCCAGCCAGCCAGUAAGACAAACAAGCACUCUGUGCUAUGCAAAACUGAGAUCCUGGUAACACUGCACCUCCUAAACAUUAGGCUGAAAACUAUUCACCAGUGUACAAACCUGCAUAUCCUCAAACAAGAAAGAUCUUGUUAAUGUGGAAGCAAAAUGAUAUGACAAACUCUAAAUAACUAGAAUCAUCCAAUUUAACAGAGGCCCACAUGAUCCAAGUGAACUUUAAAAAUCCUCAGCAACACCGUGUGUGAUGUGAUUCUCCAGAUCCCCCUUGUUCAUAUUAACACUUGACUGAUCCUUCUAGGAAGGGUCCCUGCAAUGGGAAUAAGAAAGCUGCUCACUUCUGCUGAGGCAAAUUUUCAGAAUACUUGCUUCUACUUCUGCUUCACCUAUUAGUUUGCAGGGCUAUCAUAAGCAUUUGGAAGUCCCUGUUCAUGCACAUAUAGUGAGAAUGGACUCAUAGUGCUUGAAAAGCACAGAUGGUAGUUGCACAGGUAUAGAAAUGUUGAUACUGGCAACUGGCUGCCAGAGAACCAUCUGACCUUUGGUGCACGGCUCUAAGACUGUUUUAUUGUCAAUAUCACUAUCAAAAUAUGACUGUUGUUUCCAACUCCCUUACUAUUGAUUGUCUUUUGAAUAGUUUAGCACCCUCAAUAUUACUACACAUGCAACUUCAGAAGAUCUCAGCCUAAAGUACAUUCCUUUGUCUCCCACUGUAAGUGUUUAAUUGGUUGCUCGCAGCAUAACAUCAGUUGACACAAGCAUGAACACAUCUUGGUGUCUACAGUUCCAUUACCUUAUAGUCACACAAUAUUUUAUGAAUGCUGUGUUAGAAGACAUUUAAACAUUUUAAGUGAGAGGAAAAUCACUGCGCAGCACAUUGGAUAUUUUCAUAAAGAUAUGCAAAAAUCCACACGAUUAUCACAAUCUUUUACUGUGUGAUAAUUAAAAUACAAUCUAAUGUUCCUAUAAAUAUAUUGAUAUGCAUAUGAAACAUGUAAAAAAAUUACUCUCAAAAUUCAGUGAUCUGCUUUAUAGAAAUGGGACAUACAGAAAAGAUACUCCUGCACUAUAAAAUGGAACAAUGCAUAGAGAUAUUUAUACUGCAUUUACCUUAGACAAUGUAACGCUAAGCUCUGCUUAGAAGUAUGUGAGAUUUUAUCAAGAUAUAUCAAAUAAAUUGUUCAUAUUUGGACCACAGCAAUACAGCAAAUCUAACCAAAUAUUCGAAACACAGCAGAAUGCAUACAAAAUCUUAACAAUUCUGCCUGACAGACAUUUGUAAGUGGUUUGUUUAGACGUGUGAUAGCUUGCUCCAUUUUUAACGUUUUCAGUAAAAACCAAGUAAACUCAGCACUCCAGAGGUGAAAUGAAAUGUGAAAUUGUUUAUCAUUUCAUGAACAUGUGGAAGAGAUGGCACUGUCUCUGGCUUUGUUAUUUUUAAAAUCAGUAUUUCUGUAGAAAGUCACUUAGCCUCCUGUACAAUGAAGUGCUUUAGCAUAUGUUAGCAUUUUAGCACCACUAAUUCUUUUCCUCUUCACCAAAACAUCCAGUCACUUUUAACAGAAUUUGAAUAUGUAUAAUAAUUAUAAGUUUAAAUGGUUUGCUCAAAGCAACUCUUCUUCUGACACAGAAUUUUACAUCACCCGAAGGCAAAUGCCCUUAAAAUUAAACAGAAUUAAACAAAUUAAACAGUAGGAGACUUCUUCUAUCACUCUGGGAAUUUUUUUGAUAGAUCACUUUAAAUUAACUUAACUUUACUUAUACAGCACUUAAUUUGAUGUUACUCUACUGAAAUUAAUUAGUUUUGCUACCAAUCCCUCAUGAGGGUUACACUUACUUGUAUUUUAAAUUUAAAAAAACACUAAAAAUCAUAUUUUAGUCCACAGUGACUGCUACACUAAAAAAACAGGUUUUGCCUGAUGCAGAUUUCUAACUUUUAGCAAUGUAGAUGAUAAUGUUUUAAUCUAAUUUCCACCAAAACUUAAUAAGAAGCGUAUUUCAAACUCCAUGGAAAAUUUUGUAUUCCCAAAAGCACAAGUUAUUGAAGUACUUCAUAGCACUAACAAUAGCCUUCUGGCAUCAGUAAUCUAAAUCACAAAUGACAUCCGCUGGCUAUUUGUUAAUUAUGUUUUUGAAUUGCCUAUGGCUACACUAGAGGAUAUAUUUCAGGCUCUGAUUUCUAUUAAUAGCUACCUGCUUUGGAACGCACAAAAAAACCCCUCUGUCCUAUCCAGCCUCUUUAUACCUAAGACAGCAAGUCCCCUUCUUUUAGGCUAUCUACUCUCAAAAUACAACAAACUGCUGCUCUCCUGUAAUACGCAUGGAAUAUCAAUGUGAAUGUACAAUAUGUAGUCCUCUAAGUUUCGUGAAACCAUUCGUAAGCACUCAAGAAGUGCAGAAGACUAAUUAUUUUGAGACAGCAUUUGCAUUUAAUGCUUUCACAGACUUCAGUGUUCUGUAAUCCUUCAGGAAUAGGUUCAGUUCAAAGGUAUGUUUAUCACAGCUAUCUAAACAUCUUGAGAUUAGACUAGACUGUAAAUAACAUAAAGUGAGCUUUCUUAUUAGGCAUCUAUUAAUUUCUCUUUUGAUCACUCGGAAACAAUUCAAGUGCAAUGAGAGGCUGAGCCAAAGCCUGGAACUGUGGAGCUAUAAUGUUUACACAAUGUUUUGAUAACAGCUAUAGAAUUUCAGAAAGUCCUGACAAAAGCUCAUGUCUGCUUUUGUUUUACCUCUUCAGCUUUAUUCAACUGGCUGAACAAAAAAGGCCAUGUCAGUUUUCUCCCCUGUUUUAGGACCACUAAGAAUGUAACAGCUAGCCCAUAUCAAAGGACCUCAAAUACUCUGUCCCACCAUCACUGUUAAGUCCCCAUCUCUUUCUAUACCCAGAAGGAAAAGCGACAAUGAAAUACUUCCCCAUGAGUGCUUCCAAUAGACAAAGUAAGAUAAAUUUUGAAAAGUAAGAAGAUGUAAAUGAGAGCAACAAAGAUUUAAUCCUGCAAAUGCUGUGGGAUGAUCUCUUCAAGAGAGGGAAUAUUGCUACAACAAAACAAGAUAUUCUAAAAACUACAUAUUCACACUUACUCAUAAACUAUUAUAAUUAUGGUGUUAGUAACACUAUUAUAUUGUUCUUUUUGUGUAACCAGGAGAUAGUCUCUUGAGGAGUCUUAUAAUGUUUUUUCCAAAAAUGUCCUUGAAAAGUAUAUGCUCACUGCGGACACAAGCAUUUAAAUGUUGCAACUCGUGGUACAAAAAAAAAAAAAGAAAAAAAAGGGGGGGGGGGGGAAUCCAUGAAAACGUAUUACAUACAUAUGGACAAGUUGGAUAAGAAUGUAAAGACUGAUCCAAGAAUAUGUAUCUGCUAAUUUUGGCAUGGAGUAAGUCCAACAUUGCACCUGCCCUGGCUAGGUGAAAGAUUGUUUAGAUAUAAAAAGGCAGAACAAACACUAACAAUGCAGCUUUCACGUGAGGAGCUGGUGUGAACGAUGUGGUGUGAGGGUAGGGCAGAGAGAAACACCUGCUCAAAUGAGCUCUCCAAGGGCAGAGCACCAAAGCUAGUUAAACACCAGAAAAGAGGGACACUGUGGGAAACCUACUGUUGCAGGUUUUAUUAGCAGGUUAGACAAACAUACACCAUGAAUGUCACUGGUGCAGUUGAUUUGUCUUAACUCCACGGCAACAAUUACACACCUUCUCAAACCCUAUUCUCCUUCCUCCCCACGCCCGUUAUUGUUCUCAUGAUCUUAGUCCACUGCAUGUUCUCCUUGGUCAAAUUUACCUCUCUAGGUCAUCUUCAGCCACUGGAACUCAGGGCUGCUGUAAUUACUGUUUCUCAGAAGAGAAAAAGAAUCAAGAAGAAACCUGGACACAAUAAAUCCAGAGGCAAAGGUUUUAUUCUUCAGGGGUAGAAUUCUGUGUAAAGCAGCUCUCUACUCACAAACUGGGUGACAAAAACCUGCCUGACAGUCUCUGAAAUCCUGAGUCUCGAUGCAAGCAUCAAUACACCUCUUGGGUUUGUGUGCCAGCUACCACAUUUUACAAACUAAGAACUCAGCUGGCCUAUCUGCUCUCCACACCAAGUACAAGGAGUUAGGACCCUCCUGGGAGAGAUUAGACCUUGGUUAGGCAAACUGCCUUCUAGAAAUACUC
Long non-coding RNA from Strigops habroptila (Kakapo), 4352 nucleotides. The record is from Ensembl. Lineage: Eukaryota; Metazoa; Chordata; Aves; Psittaciformes; Psittacidae.